CAAGCUAAAGCUAGUAGAAGCACUUUAUUUACACUAAUGAAAAUAUUGUUUAAUCAAUAUAGCUUGA
Molecule: transfer RNA, 67 nt
Filed under: Platypedia putnami
Lineage: Eukaryota; Metazoa; Arthropoda; Insecta; Hemiptera; Cicadidae
Description: tRNA-Val
Source: RNAcentral